AUUAUCUGGUUUUGGCUGUAGGAUAAUCAACGUAUCGUCUUGUACGCAUUGGUUUGGCAAUAUAAAUUUUGAUGAUAUUAAUUUGGAAAAGUCUUAUGGACCAUGGAAAGCCUAUACACAGAGUAAACUGGCGAAUAUUCUAUUUACUAAAGAACUCGCGCGUCAAUUAGCAAGUCCUUGAAUAAGUUCUCGCUGUUUCUUAAAAGAUGGCGU
Molecule: non-coding RNA, 213 nt
Organism: Linepithema humile (Argentine ant)
Lineage: Eukaryota; Metazoa; Arthropoda; Insecta; Hymenoptera; Formicidae
Source: RefSeq, a predicted model, not a curated record